GACGAACGCUGGCGGCGCGCCUAACACAUGCAAGUCGAACGGGGCAUACUUGAUGAAGUUUUCGGACGGAAUCGGGUAUAGCUUAGUGGCGGACGGGUGAGUAACACGUGAGCAACCUGCCUAUCAGAGGGGGAUAACGAUUGGAAACGAUCGCUAAUACCGCAUAACGCAGCGAGGAGGCAUCUUCAUGCUGCCAAAGAAAUAUCGCUGAUAGAUGGGGCUCGCGUCCGAUUAGAUAGUUGGUGAGGUAACGGCCCACCAAGUCGACGAUCGGUAGCCGGACUGAGAGGUCGAACGGCCACAUUGGGACUGAGACACGGCCCAGACUCCUACGGGAGGCAGCAGUGGGGGAUAUUGCACAAUGGGGGAAACCCUGAUGCAGCGACGCCGCGUGAGGGAAGACGGUCCUCUGGAUUGUAAACCUCUGUCUUCGGGGACGAACAAAAUGACGGUAACCGAGUAGGAAGCCACGGCU
This 475-nucleotide ribosomal RNA is filed under the name uncultured bacterium. Its description in RNAcentral is "bacterial SSU rRNA". It matches the Rfam family "Bacterial small subunit ribosomal RNA", at positions 28 to 498 of the family's 1533-position model. The record is from RNAcentral.